UAAUAAUCCAUUUGCAUGUAAAUCUACAAAUUAGAAGGAUAAGUUCUUCGAACGCCCGUGGGACCGCCGCCACAAUGUACUAAACCCGCGCGUCGUUACGCACCUAAUCAUCUUCCUUGGAAUGAUCUCAAUCAUUAUCUCAUUUUCAGCACGCUUACCUGUCAUUAAAUCGUCUGUUUCCUUGUGGUAUAUAAGGAUGGUUGGCUAGAGUAGUAAGUCAUCGACCAGACUGCAGCUGAGUUUAUCUCUUGUGAUUGUUGAGCAGUAAGAUACCCGGAUAAAUAUGGCAAAACUCGUUAUCCUGUUCUCCGUGCUGAUGCUGGCGGCCCUGGCCGCCGCCGACGACGACGCGACCACGCCCGCCGACCCCACCACCACCGUCGCCCCCAGCAACGACACCGCGCCCACCGCCGCCGACGCCGCUCUCGCCGCCGAUGCCAUCCAACCACCUAACGAGACGCCUACAGCUGCAAAUAGUGAAAAAUUAGGCAGCAGAUAGACUAGAUUCUUACCUUUGACCUUAUGACGGUUUUUUGAAAUGCCACCUGCCCACCUCUGCAUUUUUUUCAAUUUAUAUUACUAACAUUAUAUUCGAACGCAAAGAAAAUAAAUUUAGAAAAGGUGCCUGAAAUCAGGGAUAUUUUACGCCUGAAAAUUAUUUUAUUUCGUGGCCCCUAUUUCUAAUUAGUACUUCUUGCUUGUUUCACUCACAUCUUUAAUAAUGUUAGUACGAAAUUUUAAAUUCAAUUUCUUGAUUCUAUUUCAAUUCAUAAAUUUAGAUUAAAAUGGCAUAGUUUAUUUGUGAUAUUAGGGCAUUUAAUACCUUUAAAAGAGCUGUGACGUUCUAAUGAUCAGUUUCAUACCUCUCAAGACUAUCAUUGCUCUUAUAUUAUUCAACCUAUAUCGUUAGAACAUGCUUUGUAUUAUUAGUCAAUUUUAUUAAAGGCUUAUAUUUUAUUAAAGAAGCGAAAGAAGUGUUCUAGCCAUAUUGAUGCCUUAAUUACGCCAUUUUAUUAAACACAAUUUGAAUUAGAACAUACAUUCUUCAUUCAUUACAUAUUAGAUCAAAAUCAUUAUUUAAAGAAAUCAUAAACCACUUUAAAAAAUAAUUAAGUUUAUAAAUAAAUUAUUGAUUACUCUUA
Molecule: long non-coding RNA, 1142 nt
Organism: Cydia strobilella
Lineage: Eukaryota; Metazoa; Arthropoda; Insecta; Lepidoptera; Tortricidae
Exons: 2
Source: RefSeq, a predicted model, not a curated record